AGAGUUUGAUCCUGGCUCAGAACGAACGCUGGCGGCGUGGAUUAGGCAUGCAAGUCGAACGCGAAAUCCUGGCUUGCUAGGAGAGUAGAGUGGCGAACGGGUGAGUAAUGCAUGGGUAACGUGCCUUCGUGCACGGGGACAGCCGCGGGAAACCGCGGGUAAUACCCGAUGAGGCCACGGCGUCUACGGGCGCUGAGGUCAAAGGGCGGGGACCCCGACUUGUCGGGGCCUGUCGGCCGAAGAGCGGCCCAUGUCCUAUCAGCUUGUUGGUGAGGUAACGGCCCACCAAGGCGACGACGGGUAGCGGGACUGAGAGGUUGGUCCGCCACACUGGGACUGAGACACUGCCCAGACUCCUACGGGAGGCUGCAGUCGAGAAUCUUGGCCAAUGGGCGAAAGCCUGAGGUAGCGACGCCGCGUGUGGGAGGAAGCUUUUCGGGGUGUAAACCACUGUCAGGGGUCACCAAGCGAAGGGGGCGAAUAUCCCCCGGAGUUGAGGAGCCCCAGAGGAAGCCACGGCUAACUUCGUGCCAGCAGCCGCGGUAAUACGAAGGUGGCGAGCGUUGUUCGGAAUCACUGGGCUUAAAGAGCGCGUAGGCGGCUGAUCAAGCGCUUUGUGAAAUCCCUCGGCUCAACCGAGGAACUGCUUGGCGAACUGAUCAGCUUGAGGCAGGUAGGGGCGAGCGGAACUCUUGGUGGAGCGGUGGAAUGCGUUGAUAUCAAGAGGAACGCCAGAUGCGAAGGCGGCUCGCUGGGCCUGUCCUGACGCUGAGGCGCGAAAGCCAGGGGAGCGAACGGGAUUAGAUACCCCGGUAGUCCUGGCCCUAAACGAUGUCCACUAGGUCGGAGGUCUUCUGACAGAUUUCUGGCCGUAGCGAAAGCGUUAAGUGGACCGCCUGGGGAGUACGGUCGCAAGGCUAAAACUCAAAGCGGAAUUGACGGGUGCUCACACAAGCGGUGGAGCAUGCUGCUUAAUUCGACAACGCGAAGAACCUUAUCCUGGGCUUGACAUGUACGGAUGCCCCCUGGGAAACCAGGUCGGCUGCCCUUCGGGGUGAAACGUACACAGGUGCUGCAUGGCUGUCGUCAGCUCGUGUCGUGAGAUGUUGGGUUAAGUCCCGUAACGAGCGGAACCCUUGUCGCUAGUUGCCAGCGGGUCAUGCCGGGGACUCUAGCGAGACUGCCGGUGUUAAACCGGAGGAAGGCGGGGAUGACGUCAAGUCCUCAUGGCCUUUAUGCCCAGGGCUGCAAGCGUGCUACAAUGGCCGGUACAAACCGACGCAAGACCGCGAGGUGGAGCAAAUCGGAAAAAGCCGGCCCCAGUUCGGAUUGGAGUCUGCAACUCGACUCCAUGAAGGUGGAAUCGCUAGUAAUCGCAGAUCAGCUAUGCUGCGGUGAAUG
Molecule: ribosomal RNA, 1401 nt
Filed under: metagenome
Description: bacterial SSU rRNA
Rfam family: Bacterial small subunit ribosomal RNA
Source: RNAcentral